CUACGUAGGUGACAAGCGUUAUCCGGAUUUACUGGGCGUAAAGGGCGUGUAGGCGGUCUUGCAAGUCAGAAGUGAAAUUCCUGAGCUCAACUCGGGCGCUGCUUCUGAAACUGCAGGACUUGAGUGCUGGAGGGGAUAGCGGAAUUCCUAGUGGAGCGGUAAAAUGCGCAGAUAUUAGGAAGAACACCGGUGGCGAAGGCGGCUAUCUGGACAGUAACUGACGCUGAGGCGCGAAAGCGUGGGGAGCAAACAGGAUUAGAUACCCUGGUAGUCCACACUGUAAACGAUGGGUACUAGGUGUGGGAGGUAUCGACUCCUUCCGUGCCGGAGUUAACGCAAUAAGUCCCCCGCCUGGGGAGUACGGCCGCAAGGCUUAAACUCAAAGGAAUUGACGGGG
RNAcentral lists this ribosomal RNA (397 nucleotides) under uncultured bacterium. Its description in RNAcentral is "partial 16S ribosomal RNA". It matches the Rfam family "Bacterial small subunit ribosomal RNA", at positions 523 to 918 of the family's 1533-position model. The record is from RNAcentral.